Podospora didyma is the source of this 100-nucleotide non-coding RNA. The record is from the annotation of a GenBank genome assembly. Lineage: Eukaryota; Fungi; Ascomycota; Sordariomycetes; Sordariales; Podosporaceae.
GCCCGAUUAGCUCAGCUGGUUAGAGCAUCGUACUAAUAUCGUCCCACCAAGCAAUCUUUGGUCCAUGCGAAGGUCAACAGUUCAUUCCUGCUAUUGGGCA